UGACCUCAGAUCAGGUAGGACUACCCGCUGAACUUAAGCAUAUCAAUAAGCGGAGGA
RNAcentral lists this ribosomal RNA (57 nucleotides) under uncultured Atheliaceae. RNAcentral describes it as "partial 28S ribosomal RNA". It matches the Rfam family "Eukaryotic large subunit ribosomal RNA", at positions 1 to 57 of the family's 3401-position model. Lineage: Eukaryota; Fungi; Basidiomycota; Agaricomycetes; Atheliales; Atheliaceae. The record is from RNAcentral.